Molecule: long non-coding RNA, 2006 nt
Filed under: Malus domestica (apple)
Lineage: Eukaryota; Viridiplantae; Streptophyta; Magnoliopsida; Rosales; Rosaceae
Description: long non-coding RNA (MDOM_LNC014652)
Source: RNAcentral
UAUCCGGAGUCACCCCAUGUCCAUACCCUCAUACUCUAUUAUGACACUCAGGACCCAUUGUCUCCACAUAAACCUAGGCCCUAAGCUCAUCACCAUUUUCAUGCCCAGACUCAAUCAUAGUUUGAAUAUUCCCCUCCAUAGUUGCCUUGCAAUAAAAAUUUUAAAAAUAAGAAUUCAACUAUAGAUAAUAAAAUUUAAUAACAAUGAUUUACUACAAAGAAAAAAUCAAUUACCCUAGUGCGCUCUGAUGUUUCAUCAAUCCAAGUGCGAUCCUUUCGAGUAUGAUAGUGACGAAAAAACGAAACAGGAUCCGCCUCCUUCCCAUGCUUUUUCCACUAUAAUUAUAAGUCAACAAAAAAAAAAGGAACAAUUUUCACCAACCAUCAAAUUAUAUAUAAAUUUCUACCAAUAAUAUAUUAAAUUUAAAAAUAUCUACAAUUCUUGAAAAUGAACAACCCUUACAAGUUCUGCCCUAACUCUUGCAAAAGACUUUGCACCCGUUGUGUGGUUCAUCGUUUUCAACUGCCGAUUAUACCUAUUUUUUGCAGCAAUCUCCUAAAAAAAAUUGAUUUAUUAAACACAUUACAAACUUUAAUAAAAUAAAUAAUAAAGAGUUUACCUUCGUUUUUUCUUUGUUCCAGUAGGAGACCAAUUCAGCCCACUAUUGAGGAUCCACAUUAUGAGGAGUUUUCCGGUACUCCUCAACUGGUUUACCAGUAUAAUGUUUUUUUUUUCAAAUUAUUUCUAUACUCCUUAUGCGCAUGCUUCGCAAUAUGAAGUGUCAUGUGCCGGAUCAUUGGAAUUUUCGCCAUAUCCUCUUCUUGAAAAAUAAUAGUUUCCUGUACGCAUAAAAAAAAUCAAGCAAAUUAAUUAUUACUACAAACAUUGACUUACUAUACUCUCUUCUAGUAACAAAAAAAUAAUUCAACCUUUAUUCUAAUCCAAAAACCUUCUCUGCGAUCUUCCUUGAUUUGACGCCAAUCACUCACCAACGGCAUAUGUCUAGAAUCUCUUAUCUCUACCGCUACAUGUUUUGAAAAUGCACUAGAAUUAUCACUAAUGCAUUUUCCCGAUGCAUCAAAACAACAAACUUGUUCCUUCCAGUUAGGAAUCGAGGGUCCCCGUCCUCGUUGAGUUGUUCCUUAUAAACAAAGAAAAAACAAUUAAAAACCAUGGACCAAAACAAAAAAACUGAAACUAAAAACCAUAAUAAAUUAAAAAUGAACAACCUUCGACUUCUUCCUCUUUGAAUUGGGGUUCGUCAGCUUGUUCAUCUUCAAAAUGAUCCAUAGCAAAACAAUUUGCAAGAAGUAAAAAACUAAAAAGUGAAAUGAGAGAAGAAGUGGAAAAACGGACGAAAUUGGGAGGGAGAUGGACAAACUGAAUUUUGGGAAGAAAAGAAAGCUCGGGCGAAAUGGGGGGGGGGGGGAAAGAAUGGGUUUAAAUAUGGAUGCUAAGUUGGCGUCGGUUAAAACCGACAUUAAAUCACUGACGUCGCUUUAAAACCCACUGGCGUCAAAAUAACUAAAUCAUAAUGUCGGUUUAAACCUAUAACACCACUGAUACAUUUACUAAUAAAAUUAAACCCACCUACUUUCUGACAAAAUUUAAUGAACCAAACGUUGCGUCGAUUUAGUUACACUUGGUGUCGGUUCAAACCGACACCAUCACUGGCACAUUUACUGCUACAAUUAAAUCCACACACUUUUGACAAAAUUUAAUGAACCAGCGUCACUUUAGUUUAACUUGGUGUCGGUUUAAACCGACACCACCACUGACACAUUUAUUGCCUCCACACGCUUCUGACAAAAUUUAAUGAACCAACGUCGCUUUAGCUAAACUUGGUGUCAGUUUAAACCGACACCAUCACUGACACAUUUACUGCUGCAUCUAAUAAAACAACAACUUUCUGACAUAGUUAUUUGAAAUUUACAUGGCGUCGCUUUAGUUAAUCUUUAUGUUGCUUAAAACCGACACUAUUGUCUAACAAGCUUUAAUGAUGUGGC